UUUCUCAUAUGUAGCAUGAUGUUGUGGUUGAUGCAACUGUUUUGACCUGCUUAUAUGUUCCUUUUGGUGAAAAGGAUUCUCGAAACCUUGUUGUGGAGAGGCGAGAAGAAGGCCCUGUUGCACCUCUCACUAUGAAUGCGUUUGAGUUGAUCUCCACAUCUCAGGGACUCAACCUCAGUUCCCUUUUUGAAAAGCAAAUGGUAUGGUUAAAUUGCAUUCUGAAGCUUGAUAAGCAUUUUAGCUGAUGGGCAGGUAACUUCAUUAUUGCAAGUAUUUGUGCAUAUAGCCACUCAAUUACAUAACCGAACAUGCUAAUCUUACUAAUCCUGAUCUGCAGAUUCAUCAUAAUAUGUGAAUGUUGAAUGCAUAUUGUAUGAUCUGAUCUCUAUGUAUAGCUUAAUAUUAGCUCAGUUUUACAAGCUAAUUGUUAUGAAUUUGCUUAACAUGAAUCUGGGACAGCUGACAUUUCUUUUGGUUAAAGGGAC
RNAcentral lists this long non-coding RNA (485 nucleotides) under Citrus sinensis (sweet orange). Its description in RNAcentral is "long non-coding RNA (CSIN_LNC000581)". The record is from RNAcentral. Lineage: Eukaryota; Viridiplantae; Streptophyta; Magnoliopsida; Sapindales; Rutaceae.